Long non-coding RNA from Thalassophryne amazonica, 1727 nucleotides. RefSeq lists it as uncharacterized. The transcript has 7 exons. The record is from RefSeq and is a predicted model, not a curated record. Lineage: Eukaryota; Metazoa; Chordata; Actinopteri; Batrachoidiformes; Batrachoididae.
UUUGUUUUCGGAGUGGCUCUAGGUACGGGACACGUAUCUUAAAAUAUAAUACAGAGCGAAAAGGAGGGAAUAACUACAAAUGUGGGCAACAGUCUUUGUCAUUUGUAGCCAGUGUGAAGGGUUAGGGAUUAUAGGACGACAUGAGUUGUCGCGUUACGCCGAUCAGCCAAUCAGAGGCAUUCCUUCUUUCCUACCCGUAGCCAGUGUCUUUGGUUUUACGAAUGGCGAUCUCUAUAGCUGUCCUGGACUGUGAUCUGCUUUACAUGGCCGUGGCCAUAAGACACUGGAUCGCUUUGACCUGGAAUCCGUGUCAGACAACUUCCUCCUCACAACAUUUGGUUUCCCCAGAGAGUUUAUCCUUUAUCUGGUGGAAUUACUCAGAGAGGAUCUCUGUAGGCGUACCCAGCGAUCUAGAGCAAUCAGUCCAGAAGUCCAGGUGUUGGCUGCUUUGGGUUUCUACACAUCUGGCUCCUUUCAGACAUCCAUGGGAGAUGCUAUAGGAAUUAGCCAAGCAUCAAUGUCAGAUGUUUGACCAAUGUGACCAAAGCCCUUGUGAAGAAAGCUCCACAGUUCAUUCACAUUCAACAGAGAUCUUUCCAGCAGAGAGCAGUCCUUCCAGGAUUUUCAGAGCAUUGCAGGAUUCCCCAAAGUUUUGGGAGUUCUGGACUGUGUUCAGGUUGCCAUUAAAGCACCGAAUAGUGAAGACUCUUCAUAUGUGAAUAAGAAAGGCUUUCAUUCUGUUGGCUGCCAGCUGGUUUUGUGAUGCCAGAGGGUUGUUACUGAGUGCAGAAACUCACUGGCCUGGUGGCCUCAAAGAUGUUGAAGUUCUAGAAAGGGUCUAAUCUUGACAAACUACUGCAGGACAUCGAUGAGGGCUGGCUUCUGGGUGACUGCCGCUACCCUCUAAAAAAGAGGCUGAUGACACCAGUUGAGUACCAGAAUCCCUGCAGAGAUUCAGUAUAACCUUGCCCACAGUGCUACGCACGAGAUAGUGGACAGAACCUUUAGAGCCAUUCAGACCAGAUUCAGAUGUUUAGACAGCACUAAAGGUUACCUGCAGUACUCGCCUGAAAAGAGUUCAUCCAUCCUUCUGGCAUGCUGUGUUCUCCACAACGCCUCCCUACAGUCUGGAUUAGAUGCUUGGACUCUGGAGCGGAUAGAUCCUCCGGAGCAGCCUGAGAGCCUAAAACAGAGCGCUGAGGAUCGGGACACUCGGGCUGAAGAGCUCCGACAGCAGCUCAUUCUCAAACACUCAUUUAAACUGUGAUUUCACACACAACAACAAACAUCUCAUGCACGUAAGAGACAUCUGUCAGGAAAGGACAGACACUGUAUUGCUGAUGCAGUUUUUUAUAUUUUGCUGGUUUCUACUCUACGUGACUACACUAAGAUACACUGAUAUAUAUGGAGGAAUAUGCAAGAUAUUAUACAAUAAACCUAGACAACAAUAACCCAACACAUUUCAAAUGGCUGAACGUCCUGCAGUCUGUAUUUAUUACAUGAAGACAAUAAAAGUUGUAUUAUUCUGAAUGAUUCAGAGAGAUGUGAAUAAUCAAGCAGACUUGGUGUUUUAUGGCAUUCAAAGUGUGUUCAGCUACCGUGUUGUCAUGGCUUCUUUACAAGUGGGAAAAACUAAUCUCUUAUUUUCUUCCCCAGUCUGCCGGACUCCCACACAGUUCCACAGGUUAAGUCUUGGGAAGGAGGCACACACACAAAAAAAAGAAAAA